RNAcentral lists this ribosomal RNA (253 nucleotides) under uncultured bacterium. RNAcentral's name for it is "partial 16S ribosomal RNA". It matches the Rfam family "Bacterial small subunit ribosomal RNA", at positions 524 to 776 of the family's 1533-position model. The record is from RNAcentral.
UACGGAGGGUGCAAGCGUUAUCCGGAUUUACUGGGUUUAAAGGGUGCGUAGGUGGGUUUGUAAGUCAGUGGUGAAAGCCCGGAGCUCAACUCCGGAACUGCCAUUGAUACUGCAGAUCUUGAGUACACUUGAGGUGGGCGGAAUACAUCAUGUAGUGGUGAAAUACUUAGAUAUGAUGUAGAACACCGAUUGCGAAGGCAGCUCACUAAAUUGUAACUGACACUGAGGCACGAAAGCGUGGGGAUCAAACAGG